UACGAAGGGGGCUAGCGUUGCUCGGAAUCACUGGGCGUAAAGGGUGCGUAGGCGGGUCUUUAAGUCAGGGGUGAAAUCCUGGAGCUCAACUCCAGAACUGCCUUUGAUGCUGAAGAUCUUGAGUUCGGGAGAGGUGAGUGGAAUUUCCAGUGUAGAGGUGAAAUUCGUAGAUAUUGGGAAGAACACCAGUGGCGAAGGCGACUUACUGGACACAUAUUGACGCUGAGGUGCGAAAGCGUGGGGAGCAAACAGG
RNAcentral lists this ribosomal RNA (253 nucleotides) under uncultured bacterium. RNAcentral describes it as "partial 16S ribosomal RNA". It matches the Rfam family "Bacterial small subunit ribosomal RNA", at positions 524 to 776 of the family's 1533-position model. The record is from RNAcentral.